AAAAUUUAAAGGACGCGGUAACCUUGACCGUGAUAAUGUAGCAUAAUCAUUCGCCAUUUAAUUGAUGGAUAGUAUGAAUGGUUGAACGAAUAUUUCACUGUCUUAAAAAGAAAUAACAAAAAACUAGGAUAAUAGUAAAGACACUAUUUCAGAUUGUAAGACGAAAAGACCCUAUAGAGCUUAACUAUAACCUCUUUACAUAAAAAGAAUAUGAUUCCUAAAUAAAGAGGCUGGUAGUUUAGUUGGGGCGACUAUCUUUUAAAAAAAACAAAGAUAAGCAAAGUAAAUAAUAAACUUAUUGUAUAAAAUAUAAAUUUAACAAUUAUAAAAAUAGGCUAUAAUGACCCGUUGUUAUUAAAUAAGAAAUACAACGAUCAAUAAAUAAAAGCUACCUUAGGGAUAACAGGAUAAUUUUAUUCUAGAGAUCUUAUCGAAAAUAAAGUUUGUCACCUCUAUGUUGAAUUAAGA
Molecule: ribosomal RNA, 468 nt
Filed under: Dynamena disticha
Lineage: Eukaryota; Metazoa; Cnidaria; Hydrozoa; Leptothecata; Sertulariidae
Description: partial 16S ribosomal RNA
Rfam family: Bacterial large subunit ribosomal RNA
Source: RNAcentral